RNAcentral lists this non-coding RNA (30 nucleotides) under Mus musculus (house mouse). The record is from RNAcentral. Lineage: Eukaryota; Metazoa; Chordata; Mammalia; Rodentia; Muridae.
UAAGUGAGUACUGUAGCUUAAAGUUUCUGA